AUGCCGCUUGACGAUAUGUUUGCGGAGAGCGGUGACCAGUUCAACUUCGAUGGUUUCCACCUGCUGUGCUCCGACGAGAAGCCCUCCUCCUUCGGCGUGGUCUGCGUCUUGGGGGAUGUGACUAAGGUUCGUGCCGCCGUCUUCUCGUCAGAGACUUGGGAAUGGGUCGUCCACCCGUGGGUCGACAUCGGAGCAGAAAGGAAGCUAAGGUUCAGGAGCGGCAUGCUGGUGGGUUCUUCUAUUUAUUGGCCUUACAACUGGCUGGUGCAAGGGUACAAUUUCAAGAUUGGGGACACUGAGGACGGCGAGCUUUGCAUUGUGUAUGCACUGGACUCCCUUCUCCAUGUUUGGACCCGUCGAGCGGACGACGACGGCGGGAUCGAGAGAUGGGUACCACACAAGACAUUCUCUUUGAUUGAAGAUAUUGGUUGGAUUACUGAGACAUUGCGGGGCAUGUAUACCGGCCUGGAAGUUUUGGAAGUUAGGGCAGGGUGCGUGUACAUGGCGACAAAGCACAGUUCACCUUGCCGCUGGUUCUUCUCCCUUUCAUUGGAUACCAUGGAGAUUGAGAGGCUAUUUCAGGGGAGAUGUGAUGGCCAGGCCUAUCCGUAUAUUAUGGCCUGGCCUCCUUUGGUCGGCGAUCAUGGGAGCAUUGGACAUGAUGGGGUUGAAGGUUCUCAGUGA
RNAcentral lists this ribosomal RNA (684 nucleotides) under Triticum aestivum (bread wheat). RNAcentral describes it as "partial small subunit ribosomal RNA". The record is from RNAcentral. Lineage: Eukaryota; Viridiplantae; Streptophyta; Magnoliopsida; Poales; Poaceae.